UGCUAUACAUGCAAGUCGAACGCACUCUCGUUAGAUUGAAGAAGCUUGCUUCUGAUUGAUAACAUUUGAGUGAGUGGCGGACGGGUGAGUAACACGUGGGUAACCUGCCCUAAAGUGGGGGAUAACAUUUGGAAACAGAUGCUAAUACCGCAUAAAACCUAGCACCGCAUGGUGCAAGGUUGAAAGAUGGUUUCGGCUAUCACUUUAGGAUGGACCCGCGGUGCAUUAGUUAGUUGGUGAGGUAAAGGCUCACCAAGACCGUGAUGCAUAGCCGACCUGAGAGGGUAAUCGGCCACACUGGGACUGAGACACGGCCCAGACUCCUACGGGAGGCAGCAGUAGGGAAUCUUCCACAAUGGACGAAAGUCUGAUGGAGCAACGCCGCGUGAGUGAAGAAGGUUUUCGGAUCGUAAAACUCUGUUGUUGGAGAAGAACGUAUUUGAUAGUAACUGAUCAGGUAGUGACGGUAUCCAACCAGAAAGCCACGGCUAACUACGUGCCAGCAGCCGCGGUAAUACGUAGGUGGCAAGCGUUGUCCGGAUUUAUUGGGCGUAAAGCGAGCGCAGGCGGUUUCUUAAGUCUGAUGUGAAAGCCUUCGGCUCAACCGAAGAAGUGCAUCGGAAACUGGGAAACUUGAGUGCAGAAGAGGACAGUGGAACUCCAUGUGUAGCGGUGAAAUGCGUAGAUAUAUGGAAGAACACCAGUGGCGAAGGCGGCUGUCUGGUCUGUAACUGACGCUGAGGCUCGAAAGCAUGGGUAGCAAACAGGAUUAGAUACCCUGGUAGUCCAUGCCGUAAACGAUGAGUGCUAGGUGUUGGAGGGUUUCCGCCCUUCAGUGCCGCAGCUAACGCAUUAAGCACUCCGCCUGGGGAGUACGACCGCAAGGUUGAAACUCAAAGGAAUUGACGGGGGCCCGCACAAGCGGUGGAGCAUGUGGUUUAAUUCGAAGCAACGCGAAGAACC
Molecule: ribosomal RNA, 963 nt
Filed under: Latilactobacillus curvatus
Lineage: Bacteria; Bacillati; Bacillota; Bacilli; Lactobacillales; Lactobacillaceae
Description: bacterial SSU rRNA
Rfam family: Bacterial small subunit ribosomal RNA
Source: RNAcentral